Molecule: ribosomal RNA, 496 nt
Filed under: uncultured bacterium
Lineage: Bacteria
Description: partial 16S ribosomal RNA
Rfam family: Bacterial small subunit ribosomal RNA
Source: RNAcentral
GAUGAACGCUGGCGGCGUGCCUAAUACAUGCAAGUCGAGCGAACAGACGAGGAGCUUGCUCCUCUGACGUUAGCGGCGGACGGGUGAGUAACACGUGGAUAACCUACCUAUAAGACUGGGAUAACUUCGGGAAACCGGAGCUAAUACCGGAUAAUAUAUUGAACCGCAUGGUUCAAUAGUGAAAGACGGUUUUGCUGUCACUUAUAGAUGGAUCCGCGCCGCAUUAGCUAGUUGGUAAGGUAACGGCUUACCAAGGCAACGAUGCGUAGCCGACCUGAGAGGGUGAUCGGCCACACUGGAACUGAGACACGGUCCAGACCCCUACGGGAGGCAGCAGUAGGGAAUCUUCCGCAAUGGGCGAAAGCUUGACGGAGCAACGCCGCGUGAGUGAUGAAGGUCUUCGGAUCGUAAAACUCUGUUAUUAGGGAAGAACAAAUGUGUAAGUAACUAUGCACGUCUUGACGGUACCUAAGCAGAAAGCCACGGCUAACUACGU